RNAcentral lists this ribosomal RNA (387 nucleotides) under uncultured bacterium. RNAcentral's name for it is "bacterial SSU rRNA". It matches the Rfam family "Bacterial small subunit ribosomal RNA", at positions 355 to 759 of the family's 1533-position model. The record is from RNAcentral.
UGGGGAAUAUUGCACAACGGGCGAAAGCCUGAUGCAGCAACGCCGCGUGAGUGAUGAAGGCCUUCGGGUUGUAAAGCUCUGUCUUCUGGGACGAUAAUGACGGUACCAGAGGAGGAAGCCACGGCUAACUACGUGCAAGCAGCCGCGGUAAUACGUAGGUGGCAAGCGAUGUCCGGAUUUACUGGGCGUAAAGGAUGCGUAGGCGGAUACUUAAGUCAGAUGUGAAAAUCCCGGGCUUAACUUGGGAACUGCAUUUGAAACUGGGUAUCUAGAGUGCGGGAGAUGAAAGUGGAAUUCCUAGUGUAGCUGUGAAAUGCGUAGAGAUUAGGAAGAACACCAGUGGCGAAGGCGACUUUCUGGACCGUAACUGACGCUGAGGCAUGAAAG